CCCCGUGCCCCCAAAGCAGCGCCGCAUUGCAGCCGACGCCGCCCCCCGCCCGCGGCGCAGCCCCGCCGCCCCAGCCCUGCACAGGACGUCGGUGUUCGACCGCCUGGGAGCGGAGACGGAGCUCAGCAAGCCCACAGUGGGGGUGUUUGGCCGCCUGGGCUCCGCGCCCCCCACCUCCCCCUCCCCAUCACCGGAGGAUGACGACGGCCGCCCGCUGCCCUACGCCGGGGUCCUGAAGAAGCCGCCUCCCCCCCCAGCUCCUCGGGACCCCCCCCCACCAUCAGAACCUCCCACCGCCCCCCCGACCCCCUCCGAGGUUCCGCCGCCCCCCCCGGCCCCCCAGGAUUGCCGGGUCAGCAGCAGCCGAAGGGGGAGACCCCCCCGUGGGGGGGGGGCGGUGCGGCUGCACCGGGGUUGGGGGGGGCCUGGAGCGCGGAUGGACGGCGCCGGGGGGGUCAGCGUGUUCCGCAGGCUGGGCAGGAAGGGGCUGUGACGUCAUCGGUCGGCGCCGCGACGUCAUCGGUCGGCGCCGCGACGUCAUUGGUCGGUGCCUGGGACGUCAUUGCUCGGAGGUGUGACAUCAUCGCGCGGAGGCGGGGUGCCAUGGGUGGCGUCAGCGGGGCUGUGACGUCAUCGUUCGGUGCUGUGACGUCAUCG
RNAcentral lists this long non-coding RNA (657 nucleotides) under Phasianus colchicus (ring-necked pheasant). RNAcentral describes it as "lncRNA (ENSPCLG00000017589.1)". Lineage: Eukaryota; Metazoa; Chordata; Aves; Galliformes; Phasianidae. The record is from RNAcentral.